GACAGAGGGUGCAAACGUUGUUCGGAAUUACUGGGCGUAAAGCGCGUGUAGGCGGCCCUGCAAGUCGGGUGUGAAAUCCCACGGCUCAACCGUGGAAGUGCACUCGAAACUGCAGGGCUAGAGUCCUGGAGAGGAAGGUGGAAUGCUUGGUGUAGAGGUGAAAUUCGUAGAUAUCAAGCGGAACACCGGUGGCGAAGGCGGCCUUCUGGACAGUGACUGACGCUGAGACGCGAAAGCGUGGGGAGCAAAC
Molecule: ribosomal RNA, 250 nt
Filed under: uncultured bacterium
Lineage: Bacteria
Also listed under: 1 other name
Description: partial 16S ribosomal RNA
Rfam family: Bacterial small subunit ribosomal RNA
Source: RNAcentral